UACGUAGGGGGCAAGCGUUGUCCGGAUUUAUUGGGCGUAAAGAGCGUGUAGGCGGCCAGGGAGGUCCGUUGUGAAAACUCGAGGCUCAACCUCGAGACGCCGAUGGAAACCCCCUGGCUAGAGUCCGGAAGAGGAGAAUGGAAUUCCUGGUGUAGCGGUGAAAUGCGCAGAUAUCAGGAAGAACACCCGUGGCUAAGGCGGUUCUCUAGUACGGUACUGACGCUGAGGCGCGAAAGCGUGGGGAGCAAACAGG
RNAcentral lists this ribosomal RNA (253 nucleotides) under uncultured bacterium. RNAcentral's name for it is "partial 16S ribosomal RNA". It matches the Rfam family "Bacterial small subunit ribosomal RNA", at positions 524 to 776 of the family's 1533-position model. The record is from RNAcentral.